GGGGCAUUGCCAACGAGGCUGGUUUUGGCUGUACAGGUGAGGAUACAAUAAACAACUAAGAGGGACAGUUUCAGGAUCAAGUACUGCCAUCGGGAGAGCAGUGACAAGUAGAGGAAAGCAACCCAGUCUUUAGUAAAGAAAGGCUUUGUUCCUGCAUCCCUUUCAACCAUCUCACUACUCGAAAGAGGAGGGCAACACGCAUUAAAAGUGUAUACUGUAUCUUUGCAGGUCUCCAUUGAAGUGUUACAGGUUUGCCUGCGAGAGACUUCUGGACAUUAUAGUUCUUUUAAAUACGAUUGGUUUCUAAAUGUCAUGUGUGGCUCUCCCUCAGGAACAUGGAUGUUAGGCCACACGUGUGAUAGGCACAGCUACAAAAUGAGCAUCAUGGAUGUUCAUCCUUGAAGUUGAAUUUUCAGAGCUGAAGGAGUAGUUUGAAACCGUAAGUGUGGUUUUCCAGCCUGGUUCUGAGAAUUACAGAGCCUAAACCAUGGCUUACACGUCAUUUGCUUUGGAAAAUAAAAACCUGCUUUUGAAAGUAUCUGAAUAUGCACAAAUGAGGUAAGGAAAUGUGGUAGUUGCCAGUCAGUGAGGGCUUCCUCUUAUUUACCAUGUUUAUUAGCUUGAGCCUGGUGCAAGGCACAGCAGCUGUUUGAAUAAGACAUGCACAAGCCAGCUGGUAGCAUUGUGUAUGUUGGGCUAGUGAGCAGCAGAUUUCUCUUUUUUUUACUUAGGUGAUGUUCUUCUUUCAUUUUUCAGUGUUUAUAUUGGAGUAAGGCUUCGAGGCCCCAGAAUUGAAGAAAUGAACUGCUGUGCAGACACCUAUGAAGAAAUUUUCACAACUCCUAAUGCUCCUUCCUGUUCCACUGCUACAAACUGUGCCACAGCACAGCAAAGAAUUGAAUGGUUUCUGAAGCAAGUGUGUGAGGAAACCUGGCUUUUCAGCCUCACAGGGUAGUUGUUGGGAGGAAGGGAGAGAGAGGGAAAGAAAGAGAGGAGACUGGGAUUUCUGAGACUGCAUCAGUACUUUACUUUAAGGAGUUGUUGAAUAAAGCAUCUUACAUAUAUCUUGCUCAUCCUCUGGCACUCCUAAGAAAGCAGCAGCUGCCACGGCAGUUUGUGAAGUGGCUGAUGCUGCAGGUUAAGCAGUACAUACUUACUGGAUCCUUCCCCUCAGAUGAAGUAGUACUUGGACAGGCUUGUGCCGAGCUGCUCCAUUUUGCCCAGGAUGAGGAAUUUUUUUUAAUACACCAGAGCACAACUCUGGAUAGGACGCCUGUGAAGUCAGGCACAUUCAGAGUAAGACAGUGCGUAGGCUUUCUGGAAACACAGUUUGAUCACCCUAAAUCCACUAAAGUCCUCAUUUAGGCAUACAUGUCCUUUUCUGUCCUUGCUAUGAAACAAGUCCAACUGAUGAUCCUGUAAAGCCUCUUAUCCAGCUGCAUGUGGAGCCUGGUCUAACAUAGCCCAGAAGGUAUGGCCUUUUGCACCAAGGAGAUAAUCCAGUUUCCAACUUCUGACUUUCCCAGAUUGGCACAUUGCUUUGUGCAACCGGGACAGAAGAUACAGAUUUGCAUAGCAUGGGUCCAAAUUUUCUGGAGAUAGAAACUUCGCAUGGAAACUUGGAAACUGAUUGGAAUAUGAAAUGGUAGCCCAAAACUAAAAUGUUCCAUGUUAUAAUCAGACUCCUAAAUCUCCCAAGCUUCCACACUGAUCCUAUAGUAUUACACUAAGCUUUCAUUUCACAUCCUUCUGGAAAACUCAGUAUAACUUCCUCUGUCAUUUUAAAGAAAAUAUAUUACAAGAUCUGCCUAGUUCUUGCCACUACCAUAAAGGGACGAUGCAGGCUGUAACGCCUUCAUUUAUUGCCAUUUUCUUUUUGGCUGAAGGG
This is a long non-coding RNA of Harpia harpyja (harpy eagle), 1888 nucleotides long. RefSeq lists it as uncharacterized. The transcript is spliced from 3 exons. The record is from RefSeq and is a predicted model, not a curated record. Lineage: Eukaryota; Metazoa; Chordata; Aves; Accipitriformes; Accipitridae.